RNAcentral lists this ribosomal RNA (253 nucleotides) under uncultured bacterium. RNAcentral's name for it is "partial 16S ribosomal RNA". It matches the Rfam family "Bacterial small subunit ribosomal RNA", at positions 524 to 776 of the family's 1533-position model. The record is from RNAcentral.
UACGUAGGGUCCAAGCGUUAUCCGGAAUCACUGGGCGUAAAGCGUGCGUAGGUGGCGCGUUAAGUGAGAUGUUAAAUCGUGUGGCUCAACCAUAUCGAUGCAUCUCAUACUGGCGUGCUAGAGGACAGCAGAGGCAAGUGGAAUUUGUAGUGUAGCAGUGAAAUGCGUAGAUAUUACGAGGAACACCAAUGGCGAAGGCAGCUUGCUGGGCUACUCCUGACACUGAGGCACGAAAGCCAAGGGAGCAAACAGG